UGCCUUUUGGACAAGAACUACGUCAAACCAC
RNAcentral lists this non-coding RNA (31 nucleotides) under Mus musculus (house mouse). Lineage: Eukaryota; Metazoa; Chordata; Mammalia; Rodentia; Muridae. The record is from RNAcentral.